UCUUGCCUGAUGAGCUUAGAUCUGGUAGCAAGUUUCAAGAGGCUGUGCAGCAGACUGCAGCCCACAGGAGUCCAUUCACAUGGAUCUCCACACACAAGCAGUGGACUUCAGAUGUAAAUGAAGAGGAAUAACCAGGGAGGCUUCCUUCAAGGGACAGUAAAGUGCCAAGAGCUGCAUGAAGAGCACAGUGCAAACAGUCACCAAACUGGACAGUGGAUUAGAUGACUGGGUUCCAUGGUUAUUUGCAUUUUUAUCCUGCGUUUCUGAUCCAGUAUCUGAUGUAUUUGG
Long non-coding RNA from Pseudopipra pipra, 288 nucleotides. RefSeq lists it as uncharacterized. The record is from RefSeq and is a predicted model, not a curated record. The transcript has 3 exons. Lineage: Eukaryota; Metazoa; Chordata; Aves; Passeriformes; Pipridae.